RNAcentral lists this ribosomal RNA (279 nucleotides) under uncultured bacterium. RNAcentral describes it as "partial 16S ribosomal RNA". It matches the Rfam family "Bacterial small subunit ribosomal RNA", at positions 506 to 784 of the family's 1533-position model. The record is from RNAcentral.
UGCCAGCCGCCGCGGUAAUACGGAGGGUGCUAGCGUUGUUCGGAAUUACUGGGCGUAAAGAGCGCGUAGGCGGUUCGGUAAGUUGGUAGUGAAAUCCCAGGGCUUAACCCUGGAACUGCUAUCAAAACUACAUUUCUUGAGUUUGGUAGAGGAGAGUGGAAUUCCUAGUGUAGAGGUGAAAUUCGUAGAUAUUAGGAGGAACACCAGUGGCGAAGGCGACUCUCUGGGCCAAUACUGACGCUGAGGUUCGAAAGCGUGGGUAGCGAACAGGAUUAGAUA